CGGGGAUUAGCGCAGUGGCUAGCGCGCGGCGUUCGGGUCGCCGAGGUCGCCGGUUCAAAUCCGGCAUCCCCGACCA
This 76-nucleotide transfer RNA is filed under the name Patescibacteria group bacterium. RNAcentral's name for it is "tRNA-Pro". It matches the Rfam family "tRNA". From Rfam's summary of the family: Transfer RNA (tRNA) molecules are approximately 80 nucleotides in length. The record is from RNAcentral. RNAcentral also lists the same sequence under 1 other name.